RNAcentral lists this unclassified non-coding RNA (233 nucleotides) under Hevea brasiliensis (rubber tree). The record is from RNAcentral. Lineage: Eukaryota; Viridiplantae; Streptophyta; Magnoliopsida; Malpighiales; Euphorbiaceae.
AUGUCUUACUUUCUUUGAGGAGUGUAAGCAUGAAUUUUAUGUUUAUCUACCUGUAGAAGUGAUAUAGAUGUAUUUCUAUGAACUCUUUGUUUAUGUCAUGUAGAGGUCUGUGAAUAGUAUUUUAGUUUUCAUUUCUUUCAUCCUUGUAGUUGUCAUCUUGCUUGAUGACUUUCUGCCCCAAUUGUUAUAUUUUGUACUGGUACAUUUUUUUCUGCAAUAAUGCUAGUCUUGUU